UUCGUCGUGCUGGGGAUAGAGCAUUGCAAUUAUUGCUCUUCAACGAGGAAUGCCUAGUAAGCGUGAGUCAUCAGCUCACGUUGAUUACGUCCCUGCCCUUUGUACACACCGCCCGUCGCACCUACCGAUCGAAGGUAAUGAUGAGCCGUCAGGACCACUGAUUUUGCCUUCACGGGCUUUUUCGGUUGAAAUUUCUGCAAAUCCUUGCCUUUAGAGGAAGGUGAAGUCGUAACAAGGUUACCGUAGGUGAACCUGCGGUAGGAUCAUU
RNAcentral lists this ribosomal RNA (268 nucleotides) under Pteridomonas danica. RNAcentral's name for it is "partial Eukaryotic small subunit ribosomal RNA". It matches the Rfam family "Eukaryotic small subunit ribosomal RNA", at positions 1561 to 1830 of the family's 1831-position model. The record is from RNAcentral. Lineage: Eukaryota; Dictyochophyceae; Pedinellales.